RNAcentral lists this transfer RNA (76 nucleotides) under Lethrinus semicinctus (black blotch emperor). RNAcentral's name for it is "tRNA-Val". It matches the Rfam family "tRNA". From Rfam's summary of the family: Transfer RNA (tRNA) molecules are approximately 80 nucleotides in length. Their secondary structure includes four short double-helical elements and three loops (D, anti-codon, and T loops). Further hydrogen bonds mediate the characteristic L-shaped molecular structure. tRNAs have two regions of fundamental functional importance: the anti-codon, which is responsible for specific mRNA codon recognition, and the 3' end, to which the tRNAs corresponding amino acid is attached (by aminoacyl-tRNA synthetases). tRNAs cope with the degeneracy of the genetic code in two manners: having more than one tRNA (with a specific anti-codon) for a particular amino acid; and 'wobble' base-pairing, i.e. permitting non-standard base-pairing at the 3rd anti-codon position. The record is from RNAcentral. Lineage: Eukaryota; Metazoa; Chordata; Actinopteri; Spariformes; Lethrinidae.
UCAGAGUAUAGCUUAAAAUGCCUAAAGCACCUCCCUUACACCGAGGAUAUGUCCGUUCAAAUCGGGCUGAUCUGAA